Non-coding RNA from Pelobates cultripes (western spadefoot toad), 157 nucleotides. NCBI's taxonomy places the organism in Eukaryota, Metazoa, Chordata, Amphibia, Anura, Pelobatidae. The record is from the annotation of a GenBank genome assembly.
GCUGACACAUUCCAGCCAAUCAGCAGCAGACCCUCCCUCCCAGACCCUCCCACCUCCUGGACAGCUCACUAAGAAUGCAGCUUCAAAAUGGAUGCUGUCCAGGAGGUGGGAGGGUCUGGGAGGGAGGGUAUGCUGCUGAUUGGCUGGAAUGUGUCAG